CCUUUGUACACACCGCCCGUCGCUACUACCGAUUGAAUGGCUCAGUGAGGCUUUCGGAUUGGCCCAGAGAGGUCGGCAACGACCACUCAGGGCCGAGAAGUCAUCCAAACUCGGUCAUUUAGAGG
RNAcentral lists this ribosomal RNA (125 nucleotides) under Sordariomycetidae sp. RNAcentral describes it as "partial small subunit ribosomal RNA". It matches the Rfam family "Eukaryotic small subunit ribosomal RNA", at positions 1657 to 1779 of the family's 1831-position model. The record is from RNAcentral. Lineage: Eukaryota; Fungi; Ascomycota; Sordariomycetes.